Molecule: ribosomal RNA, 401 nt
Filed under: uncultured eukaryote
Lineage: Eukaryota
Description: SSU rRNA
Rfam family: Eukaryotic small subunit ribosomal RNA
Source: RNAcentral
CCAGCAGCCGCGGUAAUUCCAGCUCCAAUAGCGUAUAUUAAAGUUGUUGCGGUUAAAAAGCUCGUAGUUGGAUUUCUGCUGAGAACGACCGGUCCGCCCUCUGGGUGUGUACAUGGCACGGCCUGGGCAUCUUCUUGGGGUACGUAUCUGCACUUGACUGUGUGGUGCGGAAUCCAGGACUUUUACUUUGAGGAAAUUAGAGUGUUUCAAGCAGGCACGCGCCUUGAAUACAUUAGCAUGGAAUAAUAAGAUAGGACCUCGGUUCUAUUUUGUUGGUUUCUAGAACUGAAGUAAUGAUUAAUAGGGACAGUCGGGGGCAUUCGUACUUAACUGUCAGAGGUGAAAUUCUUGGAUUUGUUAAAGACGAACUACUGCGAAAGCAUUUGCCAAGGAUGUUUUCA